Molecule: small RNA, 1289 nt
Filed under: Arabidopsis thaliana (thale cress)
Lineage: Eukaryota; Viridiplantae; Streptophyta; Magnoliopsida; Brassicales; Brassicaceae
Description: ATSL156230
Rfam family: MIR405 microRNA precursor family (bases 1106-1227)
Source: RNAcentral
AAGAUAAUAUUACCGAUUUUUAGUCAAUAUCAGUUAAACAGUUCGCCUUUCAAUAUUUGAUUAAGACUAGGGGUGUCAAAAUGAGUCAAAAUUCAUGGGUCAACUCAACUCAAUCCAUGAACCCUAAUGAGUUGAAAAUUUUGACUGAAAUGAGUUGAUGGGUCAAAUGGGUUGAUGAGUCAAUUGGUUUGAUGAGUAAAAUGAGUUGGGUUGUAAUGGUUAAUGGUUUCAAUGGUUUACCCAAUUAACCCAUCAAAUUUUGUAAAAUUGAAUUAAACCAACUAAAAUCUCUAAAUCAAUGCCAAUUUAAGUUUAACCAACACAUCUAAACCAAUUUAAUAAAAUUAAUAUUUUUCCAAAUUUCUUAAAUAUACAAGCGAUGAAAUUGAGAAAAAAUAAACUCGUAAUUUUUCCACCAAAAAACAUAAACCCAUGAUUUUUCCACCAAAAACGUAAACCCGUGAUUUUCCCGCCAAAAACGUAUAUCCAUAAUUUUCCCGCCAAAAACGUAAACCCGUAAUUUUUCCACCAAAAACGUAAACCCGUGAUUUUCCCGCCAAAAACGUAAACCCGUGAUUUUCCCGCCAAAAACGUAAACCCGUGAUUUUUCCGCCAAAAACGUAAACCCGUGAUUUUCCCGCCAAAAACGUAAACCCGUGAUUUUCCCGCCAAAAACGUAAACCCGUAAUUUUCCCGCGAAAAACGUAAAUCCAUAAUUUUCCCGCCAAAAACGUAAACCCGUGAUUUUCCCGCCAAAAACGUAAACCCGUGAUUUUCCCGCCAAAAACGUAAACCCGAGAUUUUCCCGCCAAAAACGUAAAUCCGUUAUUUUUCGCCAAAAACGUAAACCCGAGAUUUUUCCGCCAAAAAGCUUAAACCCGAAAUUUUCCAGCCAAAAAAUGUAAACCCAUUAUUUUCCGGCCAAAAACGUAAAAACCUAUAAUUUUCCCGCCAAAAACGUAAAUCCGUGAUUUUCUAUACCAAAAACGUAAACCUGUAAAAAGUGGAAUCCGUAAAUAUUUUAAGUUUGAUGAUAAUGAAUUAAUAAUGAUAAUUAUUUAUUAUUGUUUUAUAAUAAUAAUUAAUUAAAUUAUUACUUAAUGGGUUAACUCAUUUAACAACUCAACCCAUCAAAUUAAAUGAGUUAUGGGUUGACCCAACCCAUUUUGUUAAAUGGGUUGGGUCAACUCAUAACUCAUUUAAUCCUAAACUCAUUUGAUUAUGAGUUGAGUUGAGUUGGGUUACCCAUUUUGACACCCCUAAUUAAGACCAUGUUUAGCUUAUUUACU